UGGAAUGUAGCUCAGUGGUAGAGCACUUGUCUAGUAUGCUCCCCGGCCUGGGUUCAAACCCCAGUGCUGCAA
This 72-nucleotide transfer RNA is filed under the name Ictidomys tridecemlineatus (thirteen-lined ground squirrel). Its description in RNAcentral is "Spermophilus tridecemlineatus (thirteen-lined ground squirrel) tRNA". It matches the Rfam family "tRNA". Rfam says of the family: Transfer RNA (tRNA) molecules are approximately 80 nucleotides in length. Their secondary structure includes four short double-helical elements and three loops (D, anti-codon, and T loops). The record is from Rfam by way of RNAcentral. RNAcentral also lists the same sequence under 1 other name. Lineage: Eukaryota; Metazoa; Chordata; Mammalia; Rodentia; Sciuridae.